RNAcentral lists this ribosomal RNA (431 nucleotides) under uncultured bacterium. RNAcentral's name for it is "partial 16S ribosomal RNA". It matches the Rfam family "Bacterial small subunit ribosomal RNA", at positions 29 to 507 of the family's 1533-position model. The record is from RNAcentral.
AACGAACGCUGGCGGCAGGCUUAACACAUGCAAGUCGAGCGCCCCGCAAGGGGAGCGGCAGACGGGUGAGUAACGCGUGGGAACGUACCUUUUGGUUCGGAACAACUCCGGGAAACUGGAGCUAAUACCGGAUAAGCCCUAACGGGGAAAGACUUAUCGCCGAAAGAUCGGCCCGCGUCUGAUUAGCUAGUUGGUGAGGUAACGGCUCACCAAGGCGACGAUCAGUAGCUGGUCUGAGAGGAUGAUCAGCCACACUGGGACUGAGACACGGCCCAGACUCCUACGGGAGGCAGCAGUGGGGAAUAUUGGACAAUGGGCGCAAGCCUGAUCCAGCCAUGCCGCGUGAGUGAUGAAGGCCUUAGGGUUGUAAAGCUCUUUUGUCCGGGAAGAUAAUGACUGUACCGGAAGAAUAAGCCCCGGCUAACUUCGUG